CCUACGGGUGGCAGCAGUGGGGAAUAUUGGGCAAUGGGCGCAAGCCUGACCCAGCAAUGCCGCGUGUAGGAAGAAGGCUUUCGGGUUGUAAACUUCUUUUAUCAGGGACGAAGAAAGUGACGGUACUUGCGGUAUAAGCCACGGCUACCUACGUGCAAGCAGCCGCGGGAAUACGUAGGUGGCACGCGUUAACCGGAUUUAUUGGGGGUAAAGGGCGUGUAGGCGGGAGCGCAAGUCAGAUGUGAAAACUCAGGGCUCAACCCUGAACCUGCAUUUGCUACUGUGUUGCUUGAGUGCUGGAGAGGCAAGCGGAAUUCCGGGUGUAGCGGUGAAAUGCGUAGAGAUACGGAGGAACACCAGUGGCGAAGGCGGAUUGCUGGACAAUAACUGACGCUGAGGUGCGAAAGCGUGGGGAGCAAACAGGAUUAGAUACCCCAGUAGUC
This 443-nucleotide ribosomal RNA is filed under the name uncultured bacterium. RNAcentral describes it as "partial 16S ribosomal RNA". It matches the Rfam family "Bacterial small subunit ribosomal RNA", at positions 338 to 795 of the family's 1533-position model. The record is from RNAcentral.